Molecule: unclassified non-coding RNA, 278 nt
Filed under: uncultured Phycisphaeraceae bacterium
Lineage: Bacteria; Pseudomonadati; Planctomycetota; Phycisphaerae; Phycisphaerales; Phycisphaeraceae
Description: contains 16S-23S intergenic spacer region
Source: RNAcentral
UCCGGUUUGUCACCGGCGGUCUCCUUAGAGUUCCCACCCUUGCGGGCGUGGCUCCCCUUUCAGGGAGUUAAUCCGUGCAUGUCAAGCCCAGGAUAAGGUUCUUCGCGUUGCUUCGAAUUAAGCCACAUGCUCCACCGCUUGUGUGAGCCCCCGUCAAUUCCUUUGAGUUUUAGCCUUGCGACCGUACUCCCCAGGCGGCACACUUAUCGUUUUUACUUCGACACCGGGGGCGUCAGAGCCUCCAGUAUCUAGUGUGCAUCGUUUACGGCGUGGACUAC